Molecule: long non-coding RNA, 236 nt
Organism: Actinia tenebrosa (Australian red waratah sea anemone)
Lineage: Eukaryota; Metazoa; Cnidaria; Anthozoa; Actiniaria; Actiniidae
Source: RefSeq, a predicted model, not a curated record
CGGAUCGGAAGGUCUUACACAAGAGUCUAUCCAGAAACAUCCAGGUUUAAAAGCAUUUAAAUGGUAACAAACUUGUGUUUCAAGCAAAGAUGGCGGUUUGGAAGACGUUGCCAAACAAGAGGUAACUUUGUCGAAGGAGUUUAAAACUUUGAAACAGAAACUGGACCUUUAAAAGCCAGAGAAGCUAAAGAAAACUGUCCAUGGAGUCUUGAGAUCAAGAGGUGCAAAGAUGUGAC